AUGUGCAGUUCUGGCGUUGUAUAUUGGACAAGGCGGAGAGAAUGCAUGGUUAAGAGAAACCUCUCCAUAUAUGGUGUGAACCCAACCAUGCGCAUACAACAAGGCCAUCCAGUGGACAUAACAGUCAUUGCUUUGCAUCCGCUUAGCAUGAAACCUUAUAGUGUUAAUGUUUCGAUCAAUGGGGAAUUGCCAAGCGUGACAUUUGGGCAACUUAUAACAGAUCCUAGUGUUAGGCUGAAAGGAGACUUCGCUCUAAUUGCAUGGGAAUCAAGGAUAGCCCCUCAUAAAUCAUUUCCUAAUUAUGUUACAUGUCAUGCUCAGGAUACACAUCAAAGUAGUGCCCUGCCAGGGAGGAAGCGACAAGCAGUGCCAAUAUAA
RNAcentral lists this ribosomal RNA (378 nucleotides) under Triticum aestivum (bread wheat). RNAcentral's name for it is "partial small subunit ribosomal RNA". Lineage: Eukaryota; Viridiplantae; Streptophyta; Magnoliopsida; Poales; Poaceae. The record is from RNAcentral.